This 457-nucleotide ribosomal RNA is filed under the name uncultured bacterium. Its description in RNAcentral is "bacterial SSU rRNA". It matches the Rfam family "Bacterial small subunit ribosomal RNA", at positions 355 to 802 of the family's 1533-position model. The record is from RNAcentral.
UGGGGAAUUUUGGACAAUGGGCGCAAGCCUGAUCCAGCAAUGCCGCGUGCAGGAUGAAGGCCUUCGGGUUGUAAACUGCUUUUGUACGGAACGAAACGGCGAACUCUAAUAAAGUUUGCUAAUGACGGUACCGUAAGAAUAAGCACCGGCUAACUACGUGCCAGCAGCCGCGGUAAUACGUAGGGUGCAAGCGUUAAUCGGAAUUACUGGGCGUAAAGCGUGCGCAGGCGGUUAUAUAAGUCAUGUGUGAAAUCCCUCGGCUCAACCGGGGAACGACGCAUGAAACUGGCAAGCUAGAGUACCAAAGAGGGUGGUGGAAUUCCCGGUGUAGCGGUGAAAUGCGUAGAUAUCGUCAAGAACACCGAUAGCGAAGGCAGCUUACCAAGCUGUAACUGACACUGAGGCACGAAAGUGUGGGGAUCAAACAGGAUUAGAUACCCUCGUAGUCCCUGAGCGG